This 493-nucleotide ribosomal RNA is filed under the name uncultured Actinomycetes bacterium. RNAcentral's name for it is "bacterial SSU rRNA". It matches the Rfam family "Bacterial small subunit ribosomal RNA", at positions 335 to 838 of the family's 1533-position model. Lineage: Bacteria; Bacillati; Actinomycetota; Actinomycetes. The record is from RNAcentral.
ACUCCUACGGGAGGCAGCAGUGGGGAAUAUUGCACAAUGGGCGCAAGCCUGAUGCAGCGACGCCGCGUGAGGGAUGACGGCCUUCGGGUUGUAAACCUCUUUCAGUACCGACGAAGCGCAAGUGACGGUAGGUACAGAAGAAGGACCGGCCAACUACGUGCCAGCAGCCGCGGUAAUACGUAGGGUCCGAGCGUUGUCCGGAAUUACUGGGCGUAAAGAGCUCGUAGGUGGUUUGUCGCGUUGUUCGUGAAAACUCACAGCUCAACUGUGGGCGUGCGGGCGAUACGGGCAGACUGGAGUACUGCAGGGGAGACUGGAAUUCCUGGUGUAGCGGUGGAAUGCGCAGAUAUCAGGAGGAACACCGGUGGCGAAGGCGGGUCUCUGGGCAGUAACUGACGCUGAGGAGCGAAAGCGUGGGGAGCGAACAGGAUUAGAUACCCUGGUAGUCCACGCCGUAAACGGUGGGUACUAGGUGUGGGUUUCCUUCCUUGGG